RNAcentral lists this ribosomal RNA (500 nucleotides) under uncultured bacterium. Its description in RNAcentral is "bacterial SSU rRNA". It matches the Rfam family "Bacterial small subunit ribosomal RNA", at positions 28 to 524 of the family's 1533-position model. The record is from RNAcentral.
GACGAACGCUGGCGGCGUGCUUAACACAUGCAAGUCGAGCGGUCUGGGGGCAACUCCAGGCAGCGGCGGACGGGUGCGUAACACGUGGAUAAUCUGCCCUAGAGACGGGGAUAACCAGCCGAAAGGUUAGCUAAUACCCGGUAAGCUCACGGACCCGAAGGGGUCAGGGAGAAAAGUCGCAAGACGCUCUAGGAUGAGUCCGCGGCCCAUCAGGUAGUUGGCGGGGUAAAGGCCCACCAAGCCUACGACGGGUAGCUGGUCUGAGAGGACGACCAGCCACACUGGAACUGAGACACGGUCCAGACUCCUACGGGAGGCAGCAGUGGGGAAUUUUGCGCAAUGGACGAAAGUCUGACGCAGCAACGCCGCGUGGGUGAUGAAGGUCUUCGGAUUGUAAAACCCUGUCGUCGGGGACGAAGGUAGGAGGGUUAAUAGCCCUUUUGCUUGACGGUACCCGGAGAGGAAGCCCCGGCUAACUCUGUGCCAGCAGCCGCGGUAAU